This 337-nucleotide unclassified non-coding RNA is filed under the name soil metagenome. RNAcentral's name for it is "partial contains 5.8S ribosomal RNA, internal transcribed spacer 2, and large subunit ribosomal RNA". The stretch from base 1 to 120 matches the Rfam family "5.8S ribosomal RNA", at positions 35 to 154 of the family's 154-position model. The record is from RNAcentral.
GAUGAAGAACGCAGCGAAAUGCGAUAAGUAAUGUGAAUUGCAGAAUUCCGUGAAUCAUCGAAUCUUUGAACGCACAUUGCGCCCCCUGGCAUUCCGGGGGGCAUGCCUGUCCGAGCGUCAUUUCUGCCCUCAAGCACGGCUUGUGUGUUGGGUGUGGUCCCCCCGGGGACCUGCCCGAAAGGCAGCGGCGACGUCCGUCUGGUCCUCGAGCGUAUGGGGCUCCGUCACUCGCUCGGGAAGGACCUGCGGAGGUUGGUCACCACCAUAUUUUACCACGGUUGACCUCGGAUCAGGUAGGAGUUACCCGCUGAACUUAAGCAUAUCAAUAAGCGGAGGA